This is a long non-coding RNA of Gallus gallus (chicken), 1432 nucleotides long. Lineage: Eukaryota; Metazoa; Chordata; Aves; Galliformes; Phasianidae. The record is from Ensembl.
GGGGUCUUAUGGGGUCCUAUGGGGCUCUAUGGGGUUCUAUGGGGUCUUAUGGGGUUGUAUGGGGUCCUAUGGGGGCUUAAAGUGGUCCUAUGGGCGUCUAUGGGGCCCUUAUGGGGUCCUUAUGGGGUCCUAUGGGGCUCUAUGGGGUCCUUAUUGGUCCUUAUGGGGUCCUAUGGGGUUCUAUGGGGUCUUUAUGGGGUCCUUAUGGGGCUCUAUGGGGUCCUUAUGGGGUCCUAUGGGGGCUUAAAGGGGUUCUAUGGGGUCCUAUGGGGCUCUAUGGGGUCCUUAUGGGGUUCUAUGGGGUCCUUAUGGGGUCCCUAUGGGGUCCUUAUGGGGCUCUAUUGGGUCUUUAUGGGGUCCUAAGGGGUCUUAUGGGUUCUUUAUGGGGUCCUAUGGGGGCUUAAAGGGGUCCUAUGGGGCUCUAUGGGGUCCUUAUGGGGCCCUAUGGGGCUCUAUGGGGUCCUUAUGAGGAUCUAUGGGGUCCUAUGGGGUUCUAUGGGGGCUUAAAGUGGUCUUUAUGGGGUCCUAUGGGGUCCUUAUGGGGUUAUAUGGGGUCCAAUCGGGUCCUAUGGGGCUCUAUGAGGUCUUAUGGGGCUCUAUGGGGUCCUUAUGGGGUCCCUAUGGGGUCUUUAUGGGGUCCCCAUGCGGUUUUAUGGGGUCUUAUGGGGUCCCUAUGGGGUCCUAUGGGGGCUUAAAGGGGUUCUAUGGGGUCCUAUGGGGCUCUAUGGGGUCCUUAUGGGGUUCUUAUGGGGUCCCUAUGGGGACUUUAUGGGGUUAUAUGGGGUCUUAUUGGGGCUUUAUGGGGUCCUAUGGGGGCUUAAAGGGGUUCUAUGGGGUCCUAUGGGGCUCUAUGGGGUCCUAUGGGGUCUUAUGGGGUCUUUAUGGGGUCCUAUGUGGUCCUUAUGAGGCUCUAUGGGGAUCUAUGGGGUCCUAUGGGGCUCUAUGGGGUCCUUAUGGGGGCUUAAAAGGGUCUUAUGGGGUUCUAUGGGGUCCUUAUGGGGUCCUAUGGGGUUCUUAUGGGGUUUUAUGGGGUCCAAUGGGGUCCUAUGGGGCUCUAUGAGGUCUUAUGGGGCUCUAUGGGGUCCUAUGGGGUCCUUAUGGGGUUUUAUGGGGUCCAAUGGGGUCCUAUGGGGCUCUAUGAGGUCUUAUGGGGUUCUAUGGGGUCCUUAUGGGGUUCUUAUGGGGUCUUUAUGGGGUCCUAUGGGGUUCUAAUGGAUCCUUAUGAGGCUCUGUGGGGCUCUACGGGGUCCUUAUGGGGUCCUAUGGGGUCUUAUGGGGUCCUACGGGGUCCUAUGGGGGCUUAACAGGGUCCUAUGGGGUCCUUAUGGGGCUCUAUGGGGUUCUAUGGAGACUUAAAGGGGUCCUAUGGGGCUCUAUGGGGUCCCUUUGGGGUUCUUAUGGGGUCCCUAUGGGGUCUUUAUGGGGUCCUAUG